Molecule: unclassified non-coding RNA, 401 nt
Filed under: Tragia giardelliae
Lineage: Eukaryota; Viridiplantae; Streptophyta; Magnoliopsida; Malpighiales; Euphorbiaceae
Description: partial external transcribed spacer
Source: RNAcentral
CAUGCUCCUCGUGCAUCGAACUGUUGAAAGUCGAUCUCAUCAAUCAAAGGCCAUACACAUUUUUGUGUUAUGGAUGAAUGUCGGGUUCCUGUGUUGCAUACCCAAAAGUGGAAAUCGGUUAUGUUAUGGGUUGAUAUUUGCCUAUGCCUGUCAAGGGCUAGUGGUGAACAUGGAAGCACCUCUUGUGUUCCAAACAUGUUAAUUCAACUGUUUUGGCACAUUUGUAGGUUGCUCGUGAUCUUGGAUGCUGAAAUUAUUUUGUAGCUGAGGGAUCGGAUCUCUCAAUUGCUCAAAACAUUUGUUAUGUACGAACGACAUGUAGUGCUUGUUUCCAGCCCUCCUCAUGCUACAAUGUUGGUAUGUUGAGGAAUGGAGCAAGCGUUGCGUUCGUGAAGGAAUGC